Molecule: ribosomal RNA, 243 nt
Filed under: uncultured bacterium
Lineage: Bacteria
Description: partial 16S ribosomal RNA
Rfam family: Bacterial small subunit ribosomal RNA
Source: RNAcentral
CUAGCGUUGUCCGGAAUCAUUGGGCGUAAAGAGCUCGUAGGCGGUUCGGCAAGUCACGGGUGAAAUCUCCACGCUUAACGUGGAGGCGCCACGUGAAACUGCCGUGACUCGAGUCCGGUAGGGGAGUGUGGAAUUCCCGGUGUAGCGGUGAAAUGCGCAGAUAUCGGGAGGAACACCAGUAGCGAAGGCGGCACUCUGGGCCGGUACUGACGCUGAGGAGCGAAAGCGUGGGGAGCGAACAGG